GACGAACGCUGGCGGCGUGCCUAAUACAUGCAAGUCGAGCGAAGUUUUUCUGGUGCUUGCCCUAGAAAAACUUAGCGGCGAACGGGUGAGUAACACGUAAAGAACCUGCCUCAUAGACUGGGACAACUAUUGGAAACGAUAGCUAAUACCGGAUAACAGUAUUUCUCGCAUGGGAGAUAUUUAAAAGUUGGUUAUGCUAACACUAUGAGAUGGCUUUGCGGUGCAUUAGCUAGUUGGUGGGGUAAAGGCCCACCAAGGCGACGAUGCAUAGCCGACCUGAGAGGGUGAUCGGCCACACUGGGACUGAGACACGGCCCAGACUCCUACGGGAGGCAGCAGUAGGGAAUCUUCCGCAAUGGGCGAAAGCCUGACGGAGCAACGCCGCGUGAGUGAAGAAGGAUUUCGGUUCGUAAAGCUCUGUUGUUAGGGAAGAAUGGAUAUGUAGUAACUAUACAUGUAAGAGACGGUACCUAACCAGAAAGCCACGGCUAACUACGU
This 498-nucleotide ribosomal RNA is filed under the name uncultured bacterium. RNAcentral's name for it is "partial 16S ribosomal RNA". It matches the Rfam family "Bacterial small subunit ribosomal RNA", at positions 28 to 506 of the family's 1533-position model. The record is from RNAcentral.